Arachis ipaensis is the source of this 279-nucleotide non-coding RNA. NCBI's taxonomy places the organism in Eukaryota, Viridiplantae, Streptophyta, Magnoliopsida, Fabales, Fabaceae. The record is from RefSeq and is a predicted model, not a curated record.
CUGAAUCUGAAAUCACAGUUGAUAAUUUUCAUGGUCACAAAAGAAUGAAUGAAGAAAUCAAUGAAAUCCUCUUUAGUCUUGCCACUGCCUUCGUAAUUACGAAAGUUGCAGGGAGGUAGCGCCAAAACGAUGAACACGACACUGCUAAACCAAGGCCAAUACCUGUCCCACACUAUAACGGGCGUUUCAGAUCACACUUCUAAAACCACCAUUCCAUUAAAACAAAAACAAAAAACAAAAAACAAAAGAAAAAAGAGUACCUCUCUCUCAUUCAAAAAA